This is a long non-coding RNA of Suricata suricatta (meerkat), 900 nucleotides long. RefSeq lists it as uncharacterized. The record is from RefSeq and is a predicted model, not a curated record. The transcript is spliced from 4 exons. NCBI's taxonomy places the organism in Eukaryota, Metazoa, Chordata, Mammalia, Carnivora, Herpestidae.
GGCAGCCCCCCGGGGAAGGGGCGCUUCCCUUCUCCACCCACUGCAGGGCCCCCCCGGCUGCUCCCCCAGCCCCCCACCUGCAGGCAGCCCCGCUGCUCCAGCUGCUCCCGGAGUCCCUUCCUCGACGGCCACCCGUGUCCCUGCCUCCGGGACGCCGCGGGACUCCUCGGCACGGCUUUGUCGCCCGGCUUCCAUCUCUCCUGCUUCCUUCUGUCCCUUGUCCCCACGCAGCACUCCCCCCGCCCCCAGCCACUCACAAGGAUCUGGUGGCCGCCCACAGCGCAUUCCACCUUCUCCCUGUUCCACAGCGUCUUCCCUUCAACGUGCACCUACUGGAGCCCGUGUUUCAAGGUUCAGGACAAAGGCCACCUCCUCCAAAAGCAUCUGGUUUGAGCCUCAGCCGAGCGCGCGCCCCCCUCCCUGCCUGACUCAGGACACUUCUGAGGAGGAUCUGCUGGCUGGCUGUUCUGGGGGCACAAGGAAGCAGGAACGGACCAGGAAGAUUCUGCAGACACCCGCACAGCAGCCAAGAGCUGGCGAUGACCGUUUAACACUUCCUAGGCACCAAAAAGGGAUGAAGGCUUGGCCUCCCUCCGCAGAGAAAAAUGACUACCAGACCCUGCAGCACCGAGCUUCUGGAAGGCUGGAGCUACUAUAUCUCUUCUGGAGAGACUUUCAACGCACAGACAAGGUGAGGAAACUGAAGUUCAGAGAGGAGAGUUAACCUUUCCAAGAACACACAGCAGCUGCACGUCAGAACUUGAGUCAACCAAGACCUAUCUGGCUCCAGAGCUCCAUGAUUUACCUACUUAGGCUUCUAAAAAGCCAGUGCCUUGUCCAUGCCUUGUAGACACCCAGGGCCGACAGUCCACGGCACACCCCAGGCGCUCAGUAGGCACU